This 254-nucleotide ribosomal RNA is filed under the name uncultured bacterium. RNAcentral describes it as "partial 16S ribosomal RNA". It matches the Rfam family "Bacterial small subunit ribosomal RNA", at positions 524 to 776 of the family's 1533-position model. The record is from RNAcentral.
UACGUAGGGUGCGAGCGUUAAUCGGAAUUACUGGGCGUAAAGCGUGCGCAGGCGGUCUGUUAAGACCGAUGUGAAAUCCCCGGGCUUAACCUGGGAACUGCAUUGGUGACUGGCAGGCUUUGAGUGUGGCAGAGGGAGGUAGAAUUCCACGUGUAGCAGUGAAAUGCGUAGAGAUGUGGAGGAAUACCGAUGGCGAAGGCAGCCUCCUGGGCCAACAUUGACGCUCAUGCACGAAAGCGUGGGGAGCAAACAGG